RNAcentral lists this ribosomal RNA (469 nucleotides) under uncultured bacterium. Its description in RNAcentral is "bacterial SSU rRNA". It matches the Rfam family "Bacterial small subunit ribosomal RNA", at positions 29 to 506 of the family's 1533-position model. The record is from RNAcentral.
AUGAACGCUAGCGGCAGGCCUAAUACAUGCAAGUCGAACGGGUGUAGCAAUACACUAGUGGCGCACGGGUGCGUAACGCGUAACCAACCUACCGACAACUGGGGGAUAGCCCGCCGAAAGGCGGAUUAAUACCGCAUAUACCAGCAGCCUGGCAUCAGGUAAUUGGGAAAGAUUUAUUGGUUGUCGAUGGGGUUGCGUAGCAUUAGCUAGAUGGCGGGGUAACGGCCCACCAUGGCGACGAUGCUUAGGGGACCUGAGAGGGUGAUCCCCCACACUGGCACUGAGAUACGGGCCAGACUCCUACGGGAGGCAGCAGUAGGGAAUAUUGGGCAAUGGGCGAGAGCCUGACCCAGCCAUGCCGCGUGCCGGAUGAAGGCCUUCUGGGUUGUAAACGGCUUUUCUCAGGGAAGAAAAAGACCAUGCGUGGUACACUGACGGUACCUGAGGAAUAAGCACCGGCUAACUCCGU